UAGUCCGCACGAGCGCACCCUUGUUUUUAGUUGCCUUAUGGAACUCUAGAAAGACUGCCGGUUAUAAACCGGAGGAAGGCGGGGAUGACGUCAAGUCAGCAUGCCCCUUACACCCUGGGCUACACACGUGCUACAAUGGGCGAGACAAUAAGAUGCAACUCUGCGAAGACUAGCUAAUCUGUAAACUCGCUCUAAGUUCGGAUUGCAGGCUGCAACUCGCCUGCAUGAAGUUGGAAUCGCUAGUAAUCGCUGGUCAGCUAUACAGCGGUGAAUCCGUUCCCGGGCCUU
This 288-nucleotide ribosomal RNA is filed under the name uncultured bacterium. Its description in RNAcentral is "partial 16S ribosomal RNA". It matches the Rfam family "Bacterial small subunit ribosomal RNA", at positions 1082 to 1382 of the family's 1533-position model. The record is from RNAcentral.